GCGAAAGUGGCGAAAUUGGCAGACGCACCAGACUUAGGAUCUGGCGGGGUAACCCAUGGGGGUUCAAGUCCCCCUUUCGCACCA
This 84-nucleotide transfer RNA is filed under the name Acidipila sp. EB88. RNAcentral's name for it is "tRNA-Leu". It matches the Rfam family "tRNA". Rfam says of the family: Transfer RNA (tRNA) molecules are approximately 80 nucleotides in length. Their secondary structure includes four short double-helical elements and three loops (D, anti-codon, and T loops). Further hydrogen bonds mediate the characteristic L-shaped molecular structure. tRNAs have two regions of fundamental functional importance: the anti-codon, which is responsible for specific mRNA codon recognition, and the 3' end, to which the tRNAs corresponding amino acid is attached (by aminoacyl-tRNA synthetases). tRNAs cope with the degeneracy of the genetic code in two manners: having more than one tRNA (with a specific anti-codon) for a particular amino acid; and 'wobble' base-pairing, i.e. permitting non-standard base-pairing at the 3rd anti-codon position. The record is from RNAcentral. Lineage: Bacteria; Pseudomonadati; Acidobacteriota; Terriglobia; Terriglobales; Acidobacteriaceae.